Physcomitrium patens is the source of this 2097-nucleotide non-coding RNA. The record is from RefSeq and is a predicted model, not a curated record. NCBI's taxonomy places the organism in Eukaryota, Viridiplantae, Streptophyta, Bryopsida, Funariales, Funariaceae.
UAAGGUGCAAUGCUGUCAAGUUUUGAGGGGUUUUUCUUGUGGAGUUCAGUUUUAGGAUUUCAAAGUCCAGUGUCUACAAAGGUUUAGGGCGCAAUGUCGUUGUCCCGAGCAAUUCUUUUCGAUUCGGCGCAACAUCCGCAGCAUGACUGAUUCGGAAUCCGUUUAGCAGACGCAAACACAGUCACCCAAUUCCAUAUUACGGUGCUCUUAUUGUGUUUGAACUUGACAAUUAGUAGGAUCGAUUUGCAGAGAUGGUGAGAUUGGCAAAUGCUUUUUUUUCCAUUCACGACCUUUCAAUGGUGCCCUGUCGAAAUGAUGCGAUCGAGUUCAGUGAUAUGUGUUUCACUGAGGGUUUUUCUGUAGCUUUCUUGGGAUGCUGCCAAGCCAGGUUUCGAGGGGUCUGGGUAUGGGUUACCGAUUAUCAUUCUCGUUCAGUCUUGUCCCUAAACGCGAAUUCCGAGGGCUGUUCUCGAGAUGGGAGUUUCGUUUCAGAGGCUGAUGACAUUGGGUCUCGUGGGUGAGACAGUUUAAUCUCUGUCACCAGACCAUUGGAAGUUGGAAAGAUGACGAUUUCGAGUCUUUUUGGGUGGGACCACUCUUAGAGAUUUGGAGUAGUGCGUUGAGCUUGUGAGCGCGGGAUCUGCAACCUCUCGAUCUACGCACCUGAAAUCCAAAGGGAGUGGAGUUUGUGGUUUGAAAACCAUCCUCGUCUUUCUCAAGAGGGCGUGGAUUUAGAUUUCUUCAAUUAGGCUAGUAAUGAAAAGCAAUUUGCCUAGACACUCACAGUCUCGGCCCAUGUGGUGCUUCUGCGGGUUGAUGUCUACUUUGUUGGGCAACGACGCUUCUAAGUGUGUAGAUUACUAAGGCAUGAAGAACUUGUCUGAAGCCGGCGAUUUUCUGGAAUUGUUUGAGGUUGUAGUGAUUUUGAGUGCAUGUAUGACGGUCUUGUUGUUACCUGCUGGGCUGUUAGGCAUAAGCUGAGGCGGCGAAUGCUCAGUUGUAGGUCCUUCAGCGAGAUUUUUAGUGUUACGUGCAUUGUGAUCCUCAAACAUUCUGUUUUAGGAGGUCCAAUUUUUUUUGUUGGUCUCUUCCGUGGCCCAUAAGGUUUCGCGAUAGAAUUUCUUUUCUGCACUACACAUUAUUUGGGCGUUUACUUAGCGUUUGUAACUGAAGCUGAAGCUCAAUGCCAAAUCUUCGGUGAGAUCCAAAAUUUGCAAUUUAUUUCUUAGUUCAGGAGACUAUCUGUGAAGAUUCGAAGAGCACAAGAGUAGUGUCCUUAUUUUGGCACUAGAUGUGUGUAACUCACAUUCAUCUUAAUAGAAGACCGGGUUGCAUUCUUCACGCAGCCUUUGGUUGUAUACAGAAGUUUCCUAGUGUUAUAUUGUCCGCCCAUGAUGUGCCUAUUGCUCGACACACUGCAAAUGUGUUGCACACCGUUUUCUGUCACAUCGCAUCAUAGAGAGAGGCAGCAAUAAGGACAAUUUAUGGGCAUGAAGGUUUUAGCCUAGUACACCAAGACCGGGGGCACUGUAUAACAUCCAUGGUGGCGUUCAUGGACUCUGUUUAAAACGGUAUAUAAUCAUGUUAGGCAGCAACGCAUGUGAUCGUAAAUCAUAAUCCUUGGAAUAGGAAUCCCUUGUUCUACUAGCAUACACCUAACGUUGUAUAUAUGUUUUAGGUGAUAAGGUAGUGGGACAGUUACACGGAUUAAUGUUACAGGUAUUGGGGUGGCUUGCACUGAGGGUCGUUGCACUCUAAAUGUCAACUUCGAAGUCUUCAGCACCAUAAACAAGUACCCAUUUGCAUAGGGUAUCCCAACAAGUUCUACACGUAGCCUCUCGUCAACUAGUGGUGUAAGGUUCCGAGGUUUUCUGGCAGGGCUAUUAUCCUCAUUCUUGCUUGUAGUUUUGAGUCAGUUUUUUUCUAAUUAUUCCCGUCAUAUCACUCUGUAGUCGAAGUACAGUUACUCCUCAAGUAUAAUUUGUGCAGAUCUGAUUUGUUCAGAAAAGUUUUAGUUUUCAGUUCUAGAUGCCAAAGUAUAUUUUUAUUCCUGUUUUAAGGCGAUUGUCCAUUAAAUAAAAUAUUGACUUCAGCAUG